UACCUUUACUUAGCCUCACAACAUGGGCCUUAGCUUUAGCACUUAAUCUGCACAAAUACCUGGCUUAAGUGUUAUGACUGACUGGCUAUUCAACCAAACCAUACAAAUGACCAAUUCGGUAAGAAAGCAUGAACUUCAGUGUUGAACCAAAUCAACCAACCUCCUCAAUCCAAAUGAACAAUGCUAUUCUAGGAGUCUGUGCUAGAAUAAAAUCCUAAUGCAAAGGCUGUCUUAAAAUGCUGAACCCAGAAGAAUUUGGCAUAAAUAAGACAUGGAGUUAGCUGACAUGAGAUAUUACAUUUAUUCCACUGUUGACGAGGACAAAACUGGGCCGCUAUUGUCACAGGAGAGGAUAACAAAGGAAGCUGAGGAAGUCUGUUCUGGAGGCACCAUGACAAAGCACCAGACAGAAAGCAGUCACGUGUGGGGAGAUGAGCAGAGACACCACUUCUCAAGCACCUGAUUAUUCUUUCUCAGUAUUUAGAAGCAAAAAUUAUCCUUAAGAAAAACAACCGCAAACGCAACACAGGCUACACAGAUGAGAAAAUGGGGUGAACAUAAAGAUUUUUCAGUCAAUAGCAUACACUGAACAUUGCUUCUAUAUAAAGAGCAGUGUUUCUCAAAGUGUGGUCCUUGGAACAGCAGCAUCAGUAGCAUCGGCUUGCAGAGCUCAAACCAUUACACCAUUCAGAAGCUGGCUUUGGUAUUACUUCAAGUUAUUCAAAACAGUCACCACUUGCUGAGCCUCUGAUGUCUCAUCUGUUGAAUGGGUACAUUUUCUUCCUGAUCCUUCCACCUCUAAACUUGUCUAUUUCCAAGGAUCUAUGGCAUCCAGGCAUAUGAUUUCAAGAGAGAAGGCUGAAAAGGAAGGUGACUGGAAUAUUAAGAACUGUGAGAUAUUCUGAGGAAACUCUAAUUUGUAAAUUGGUAGAAAUGCCAGUAAUUUGUUGGGAAUUGAAGACCCUCUGUAUUCAAGAGCGAAGCUUGGCAGCUGUGCACUGUUGUUUUAUAAAUCAAUAUUACAUC
Molecule: long non-coding RNA, 1026 nt
Filed under: Homo sapiens (human)
Lineage: Eukaryota; Metazoa; Chordata; Mammalia; Primates; Hominidae
Description: novel transcript
Source: RNAcentral